This 30-nucleotide non-coding RNA is filed under the name Actinoplanes sp. SE50/110. Lineage: Bacteria; Bacillati; Actinomycetota; Actinomycetes; Micromonosporales; Micromonosporaceae. The record is from RNAcentral.
CACCUUGACCACGUCGUCGAAGUCCACGCC